UAGACACGUAAUGUCGAUUAUACAGGAAAG
RNAcentral lists this non-coding RNA (30 nucleotides) under Homo sapiens (human). Lineage: Eukaryota; Metazoa; Chordata; Mammalia; Primates; Hominidae. The record is from RNAcentral.